AAAAAAAAAAAAAAAAAAAAAAAAAAAAAAAAAAAAAAAAAUUUUUUUUUUUUUUUUUUUUUUUUUUUUUUUUUUUUUUUU
This 81-nucleotide unclassified non-coding RNA is filed under the name synthetic construct. RNAcentral's name for it is "RNA (81-MER) from synthetic construct (PDB 7WM4, chain A)". The record is from RNAcentral.